CCGGCCCAUGAACAAGGCCCAAAUAUUAGUCCCACCGCAAACCUUGUCAGUCGUCUCCACACUCUUCCUUUCCAAACCCUAGCUCCCAAAUCCCCUUCGCACCGAGAUCUGAUAUUGACUUCCCCGCCCCACCGCCGUCAUGGCCACCGGCGGCAACCCCAAUCCCAACGCCAACCCCGGCCAGCCACGCCCGCAGCAGCAGCCGCCGGGAAGCUCUCCGGCGACCCCGCAUAACCACAUGCGCCCCCCCACUCUCGGCGGUUCCCCCUUUCAGGGUCUUUUCCACACCCCGCCUAGCCACAAUCCUGCUUUCCAGAUUCACAUGGGCGCAGCCUCCUCUCCCCAGACCCCACUAAUGGCCGCGGCCGCGGCCGCGGCCUCCGCCGCCGCAUCGGCCAAGCGCCCUCCCCAGAAGCCCCCUUCGCGUCCGCCGGCACCCACCUCCAACGCCGCCGCAGCGUCCAUGGCCGCCGCUUAUAAGGCUGCUAACUCCGGCAGCGUCGACCUCACCCCCGCUGCGCGCCGCAACAAGAAGCGCAAACUCCCGGAGAAGCAGCUCCCGGACCGCGUCGCCGCGCUGUUGCCAGAGUCCGCGCUCUACACGCAGCUCCUCGAGUUCGAGGCCCGCGUAGACGCAGCGCUCGCGCGCAAGAAGGUGGACAUUCAGGAGGCGCUCAAGACACCACCGUCCCUCCAGCGCACGCUCCGCAUCUACGUCUUCAACACCUUCGCCAACCAGGCGCCCCGCACCAUCCCGCCGCCCAAGAAUGGCGAUCCGCCCACCUGGUCGCUCAAGAUCAUUGGCCGUGUGCUUGAAGACGGCGCGGAGCUGGACCCAGCCAGUGUCGUGCCGAAGCACAACCCAGUGUAUCCGAAAUUCUCCUCGUUCUUUAAGAGGGUGACUAUUGCUCUUGAUUCGUCACUCUACCCAGAGAACCCACUGAUCGUUUGGGAGAAUGCCCGGUCUGCUGCGCCUCAGGAAGGGUUUGAGGUGAAGAGGAAAGGGGAUAAGGAGUUUCUUGCCAAUAUCCGUCUGGAGAUGAAUUAUAACCCUGAGAAGUUCAAGCUGUCACAGCCACUGAUGGAGGUGCUUGGGGUCGAGGUGGACACUCGUGCAAGGGUGAUUGCAGCCCUUUGGCAGUACAUCAAGGCAAAGAAGCUACAGAAUCCAAGCGACCCUUCGUACUUUAUGUGUGACCCCCAACUGAAGAAGGUAUUUGGGGAGGAUAAAAUGAGGUUUGCUAUGCUGUCUCAGAAGAUAUCGCAACAUCUUGCUCCUCCACCGCCCAUCAACUUGGAACAUAAGAUCAAGCUAUCAGGGAAUGGAGCAAACUCGAGUGCUUGCUAUGAUGUAUUGGUAGAUGUUCCUUUCCCACUGCAGAAGGAGAUGACAGCAUUUCUUGCCAAUACUGAGAAGCACAAGGACAUUGAGGCAUGUGAUGAGGUGAUAUCUGCUUCAAUCAAGAAGAUCCAUGAGCAUCGUAGGAGGAGGGCGUUCUUCCUUGGGUUCAGCCAGUCUCCAGUGGAGUUCAUUAAUGCGUUGAUAGCAUCCCAGAGUAAAGAUUUGAAGCUUGUUGCUGGUGAAGCGAGUAGGAAUAUUGAAAGGGAAAGGCGUGCAGACUUCUAUAACCAGCCAUGGGUUGAGGAUGCUGUUAUAAGAUAUUUGAAUCGUAAACCGCCUGGUGGCAACGAUGGCCCUGGUGCUGGUGGUUCUUGAGGAGAAGAUUGUUGUAGUUCCCUUUGGUGUAGAAACAAGUCGUCUGUCCUGUAUCAGUAUAAUUCAGAGAUGGUAGUGACAAGAAAAUUGUUAGAUGUUGCGGAGGAACCUGGCAGUUUUACCUCCUUUGUCUGCUGAAAUGGUUUACCUAUUGUAUGGUUUGUAUGGCGUGUGGGGCAACGGGGUUCUCACUGGGCACCAUGUCAAUGAGGAAGAUGUGGAGAUGACCUGAGGAAGUGGGCCUUCUGUAUUUGAACGUGGAAGUGGAGGGAGAUGCAAAGAGAUGAUGCCUCAGUCCUUGUCUUCAGUACCUCGAGGAUUAUGAUAACUGGUGGUGUCUCUUGGGCCGUCCCUCUUUUAUCCGUGGGUCCCUUUAUUCUUUGAUGAUCAGUUUAUUCAGUUUUGGCUCUCAAGGGUAUGGUGCUUACGAGUGCUUUUGCAUAUUGUGUUCCCAGGGUGUGAUAGGGUAUAUUUGUAUCUUGGCCCUGUUUACUGUUCUUGUCUUUCUUAAAGAAAACUGGUUAUGACUAUUAUC
RNAcentral lists this ribosomal RNA (2252 nucleotides) under Triticum aestivum (bread wheat). RNAcentral's name for it is "partial small subunit ribosomal RNA". The record is from RNAcentral. Lineage: Eukaryota; Viridiplantae; Streptophyta; Magnoliopsida; Poales; Poaceae.